Molecule: long non-coding RNA, 5220 nt
Filed under: Mus pahari (shrew mouse)
Lineage: Eukaryota; Metazoa; Chordata; Mammalia; Rodentia; Muridae
Description: lncRNA (MGP_PahariEiJ_G0003114.1)
Source: RNAcentral
ACACCGAUGCUUGCACUCCGGGGUCGGGACAAAGGCAUCACCUCUAGGUUCCUCCCGUCUGGGCACUCCGGCCCUGGCCCAAACCCUCUCCGGUUUCCCGAGCCCGACACUCCAGUGCUCCCAGCCCCGGAGACGGAGGCCGCGAUUCAGGCCUCCGGUGAGCAACCGGCGCCCUGCCGCUCCCGCGAUCCUGUCAGCGGCCAGCGGGCCUCACGGUCCCCGUAGGACUGGCGCGGCGACCCUCCGAGCCGGCGCCGCCAGACGCUCGGGCGAACCCGUCAGGUGCUGACCGGCCGGGCCGAGCCCGCCGCCAGAGGGGAGCAGGGGCGGCACUUACCCGGCAGCGCCUCCUCCGCCCGCGGCAGCAACACAGCCGGCGGUCCCCCGCACCAUCUUCUGCCGCCGCCCUGGCCUCGGCGGCGGCUAUCAACCGCCCCUGCGGCGCCGCCGACCGACACAACCGUCGGCGCCGGGCCGCCGAGUACCCGGCGAGUCCCGGAGGGAUGGGCGUCGGGCGCAGCCGCUGCUCCGGCCCCUCGGCUCCGCGCGGGGACCCGAGUCCGCCGGCCGAGGCACUGGGAGCUUGGCGGGGCUGGGUCGCGGCCGCCGUGGGGUUUGUUAUUGUCGACUCGGCCUUUGCGCCGCGGAGCACGCCGGGAAACAGCCAGCCGGGGGAGGGGCGACUCAGGCGUCUGCGCAGCUCCGGAAGUCGCUGGGCAGCCCGGACGGGCGCGGCUCGGUCAGCGAGCGGCGUCCCUGACUGGCAACUCGUCUGUCCUUCCCUGACCCUGGAAGGUAUUUCGGUGCUUGCCUUGGACGGCCCCGAGGUGAGCGUGACCUUCUGGCCGCGGCAGACCGACCUCGCCAAACCUGGGGCAGCCCCAACAGGGGAACCGGAGACUUUGAAGAGUGAGCACCGGCACAGAUCUGGGGCCCUCGUCUGCUGUCCCGAAAUCAGCCGACUGUCACCUGGGCCACUCGUACCGCGACUGCCAGAAUGGCAGGCUAUUCGGAAAGUAUGCCUGGCAUCUUUGCAAGGGUGGGGCGGCACAAAGACAGACCAGGUAAGUAAAGAGCACGUCCAGAAGAGGAACCGAAAGCAAAGUGGACUGGACUGAAGGCGGCACGACCGAACAAUACUGAGGUCAAUAAUAGGUCGACAGCAUCAAGAUUAGAGAAGAGAAUGUCAGCUUGGGAGAACAUUGUAUUCGGGCGUAGGCAUGGACUUGAAGCUACAAAACUUGAGUUUGAUGAGCAGCUGUUUCAUGCAGACUCAUCAAUUAUGUGACGUGAACACGUAUUAAAUUACAAUUCCCAGGAAUAUCUGAUAGAGGUAAAAGUUUAGGAAUAGCCUCUCUAAGCCGACAGUGGUUCCCGACAAGAUGAGACAUAAGGGGUAUUAAACUGAUAUCUGCAGUUCUUGAUUGUGAUAUACACUGGAAAAACAGUAGCUGCGUUUUAAGAGUUGUUUAGAAAGGAGCUUGUUGUUUAUCUUACUUUGUUUUUAACUUUGCACUUCUGCCAUAUCCCAGAAAAAUCUUGUCUACACACUGUUACACAUAUUGAGUAUUUUUUUUAACUGGAAUGUACACAUAUUGAGUAUUUUUUAAGCAAAAAUGGAAAAAGAAAAAGCACUCAGUUAUUUUACACCAGGGGAAGUAGUGAAUUGGCAAGUCUAAAGAGAAGGAAAAUAUUUGUUAGUGUAGUAAAUGUAAGCUAUAUUACAGUCUAGCUAGAACUAUGAAGAACAAAGCUGGCUGGGUGGUGGUGGUGGCAGCACAUACCUUUAAUCCCUUCUCUCAGAGGCUGAGGCCUGCUCUACAGAGUGAGCUCCAGGAAAGCCAAGGCUACACAGAAAAAGGAAAAUCAAGGCCAGUGAGAUGGCCCAGAGGGUAAGGUCAUCUACUGACUACCAAAAUUGACGACCUGAGUUUCAUCCUAGGACUUACAUCCUUCGAGGAGAGAACCACUCCUUGAAGUUCACACACACUGAAAGAACACUAAAGAGCUGUGUUUCCUCACAGUUAAUAAGUGCCAUUGAAUAGCAGAGAUGUACUUCACUUUCAAGUGUUAAAGUACCACAUGUCAUGAAGUACGUGUCCCUAACUUCUCUGGGAAACUGUUAAUACAAAUGUCUGUUACUUUAUACUCCAAAGUGAAUGUUUAGAGUCAAAUUAUUUAGUAAGACUAAAGUGAAAAUAUGUUAUAUGAAUUCUGCUAAACAACAUAGAUAAAUGUUAAUAAUCAUGCAUAUCCAUAAGUUUUCUGUCACAAGCUAUUUUUCCCUCAUUCUCUUGAGCAUUCUCUUCUCCAUGAUAAACAAGAACAAACUCCUGCAACACCAUGUGAAGCUUCUGGGCUUUUCUCAAUGAAACUGCAAACAGAUUUACAAGGCCCAUAGAAUGAUCUUUCAUGGGGAGUGCUGAAACAUCAUUUCAACUUAACUAAUGCAUAGGCCAUUCUGCCUUCCCCCUUCUUGUGUUAUCUCUUUCCUGUGGCUCGUAAAUGCCUAUCCAUUUACUGUAUUCUUUUUCCCAGUUCUCAAUUAGAAUAUACUAUGGGUGAUGCAAAGAUUGGUUUCUGUAUAAGAUAUGACUACUUAUUCUUGGCUUCCACUAAAUUUUUAAUUUAAUAUCUGUCAAUGUUUCAGCGAAUUUUCAAGAAAUAACUAAAAGUGCUUUUUACCAAGAACAGAACUGACUCCAUUCCUCCACAUGUAUGUGUGUGCAAUCAGUAAAGAUUUUUUUUUAUUAUUUUAGAACUGUGGAGGGAUUAUGCAUUCUGAAUACUACAAAUCAUUUGAAUUUUUAAGUCUGUUUUUCUCAGCUUAAACUUCAGCUUCUCCUAGUCUUUACCAGACAUGUCUGUAACUCUGGAUCUUUUAAGUGUUUAACAUGCUGAUUGUAAGUUCUUUUUUAAGUAUUAACCCCACCCCUGAAUAAUGAUAUUCAUUCAGUACUAACAUUUGUUAGCAGCUCCUUAUAACUUGCUCAAGCCCCCUACUUCUGUCUGGCCUUGUAUUAGCACUCAUUACUUUUCUAUCAAGAACCACCCAAUUACAUCUCUUCCCUUCCUCAGGAUUGUCAGUGGUUUUGUUUUGUAGAUGGAUAAAACUUAAACAUAGCACAACAUAUCUUGUCUGGAUUGGGAUUAGGUUCCAACUCAUCUCACACUAUACUUGAUUAAAUUCUCCUCUUCCUAUGAAUCUUUAAAUUGGAUGGAUUUUUUUAAAUUCAUAGGAUUCUGGAGAGAUGACACAAAUUAUGAGGCAUUUAUAGAAUACCAUAAAUUCUGUAAAUAUUAAAUGUUAAUAUUUAAUAUCAUUAAUCACUUAAUUUUAAUAUUUAAGGCCAAGUAAGUUUCUAUGAAAAAAUCUUGCCCUCAUAUGUCUCAAAGGCCACUCAAACAAAACUGCAAGGAUAGUUGCUUCUGAGGCAGUAAUACUUUCUAUUUAUUCUCCCAACCCUAGUAUUGACUCACCAUUGAUUUUUAUCAUUAUCUAAUAGCUUGAAAGACCAUUUGAUUUCAUGACAGGAGUCAGAUCUUGAGACCCAUACUAUAUUUUGAUUUCAUGCUUCUGGCAGUGCUUGUUAUUGUUUAUUUUUAAAAUGUACUUUUUUAUUGAAAAUACUAAAGUGUUCUUAGAUUUGUGUCUCUUGGAUUGUACAUUACAGUUCUACUUAGCUGCCUUAACUAAUCUAGAUUAUAUCACUUACCCUCAGUUUUACAGAUGAGGGAUUGAUUCAGGAAGACUGGGCUACUGAAUCAGUUCACUUCUAGUGUUCCUUAGCAGAGUGUAAAAGUAAAACCAGGCGGUGAGUUCUAAGGCCAUAACCAUACUACACAAUCCUGCCCCUUACUCUGGUAUCAAUUCAAAUUAAGGUUUUAAAAGGGUAUGAACUUGAAACUUUAGCAGUAAACUAAGUUUCUCAGUGAUAGAACUAUUUUGUGGCCAUAGGGCAGGGAAUAGCUCAAAUAAUUCACAGGUCAUUCUGUGGAUGUUACGAUUUUUUAAAAUGUAUUUUAUUAUUCUAUUCUCUCUGCGUGUAUGACCAUGCACCAGGUGCAUGACUCAUGCUUAGAGACCAAAAGAGGGCACUGGAUCCUCUGGCAUUGAAAUUACAGAAACCUGUGGGUGCUGGGACCUGAACAUGCUCUUUGGAAGAGCAGCCAGUGCAGAGUCUAGAGCCCACUCUAGUCUCACAUUUUAGGAUUUUUGACAUCUCUGGCUUCCAUCACCUGAUACCAGUGAUACUCCUAGCCAUAACUGUUUGUCUUCAGAACCCAGGACAAGGGGCUAAAGUGCAUUUUACAUAUCAAAGCAGACCUGGCCUCCAGGUUCUCCCAGCAUCCCUCAGUCCCUACCUGACAUACCCUGUCCCAACCUUGAACUUCCCAGCCUAGGAGCUUAGGCUGUUCUUCCCCCAGAGACUCUUCCUACAUAAUCCAGACAUUUUGCACCACCCUCGCUGGAUUUGCUCUUUAUCUUCCCCCUCCCCUCUUUCUCCCUCAGGGCUGUAAAUCUGCCUAUGUAUACUUUGGCUGGAAUAGGCUCAUUCACUGGUGGAGAAAUAUCUUAGUAUUGAUAAUGCCUCUGGGGACACUCUAGUACUCCCAGGACAGAAAAAUCAACUUCUUUCCUGAUUAACAAUAUGUAUCAUGCUAUACCAUACACCUACUGAAAUUGUAUUUCAGAGAAAAAAUAGAAGACAUGGAAUCAGACUACUGUAAUUCCCAUAUUUAUGGUAAUCUCUGGAAAUCUGUGCCUGAGGAUCCUAAAAUCUUGCCAUUCAUUCCCUAUGCAUAUUAAACUUCAAUCAUGGUAGCUUAGAAUAUAAAGGAUUUUAUUUGUAAAACAAUCUAAAAUGAUGAUAUAAACAUGAGGUAGUAGUAUGAUUAAAAAAAUAAGUAACAGAAUUUAUCAAAACUUCUUUGCCCCACUUUGGGUUUUCAAGACAGGGUUUCCCUGUGUAGCCCAGGAUGUAGAACUCAACUCUGUGGACUGGCUGGCCUUGAACUCAGAGAUCUGCCUGCCUCUGCCUUCUGAGCACUGGGAUUAAAGGCUUAUGCCACUACCUCCAACAAUCAAAACUCUUUUAAAAUACAAAGGGAUAUUUUUUCUUAUUUGUACCUAUUCUAUAUCUUUUAAACUAUAACUGUUCUAUAUCUUUUAAACUAUGUGUCUUUUGUAACCCAUAAUAAAAUUAAGGUUUCUUUCUA